GGGAGCCUGCUUCCCCCCUCUCUCUGCUGUGCUGCUCUGUCCCAGGCAGCGGCCCGCACUGGCCCACACUGGUGGCCUCCUGUUCUCUUCCAGUCCUGCGUGAGCAAAGCACUCGCCCAGCUGUGCUGUGUGCAGGGCCUGGUUGCCUUUC
Mustela erminea (ermine) is the source of this 151-nucleotide long non-coding RNA. RefSeq lists it as uncharacterized. The record is from RefSeq and is a predicted model, not a curated record. The transcript is spliced from 3 exons. NCBI's taxonomy places the organism in Eukaryota, Metazoa, Chordata, Mammalia, Carnivora, Mustelidae.